This 480-nucleotide ribosomal RNA is filed under the name uncultured bacterium. RNAcentral's name for it is "partial 16S ribosomal RNA". It matches the Rfam family "Bacterial small subunit ribosomal RNA", at positions 28 to 506 of the family's 1533-position model. The record is from RNAcentral.
GAUGAACGCUGGCGGCGUGCUUAACACAUGCAAGUCGAACGAAGCAUUUGCGACAGAUUUUUUCGGAAUGAAGUUGCUUAUGACUGAGUGGCGGACGGGUGGGUAACGCGUGGGUAACCUGCCUUGUACUGGGGGAUAGCAGCUGGAAACGGCUGGUAAUACCGCAUAAGCGCACAAUGUUGCAUGACAUGGUGUGAAAAACUCCGGUGGUAUAAGAUGGACCCGCGUCUGAUUAGCUAGUUGGUGAGAUAACAGCCCACCAAGGCGACGACAAGUAGCCGACCUGGGAGGUGGACCGGCAAAAUUGGGACUGGGACACGGCCCAGACUCCUACGGAAGGCAGCAUGGGGGAAUAUUGCACAAUGGAGGAAACUCUGAGGCGGCGAGGCGGGGGGAGUGAAGAAGUCAUUCGAUAGGUAAAUCCCUAUCAGCAGGGAGGUUAGGACCGGAACCUGACUAAGAGGCCCGGGCAAAAUACGG